This 496-nucleotide ribosomal RNA is filed under the name uncultured bacterium. Its description in RNAcentral is "partial 16S ribosomal RNA". It matches the Rfam family "Bacterial small subunit ribosomal RNA", at positions 29 to 507 of the family's 1533-position model. The record is from RNAcentral.
AUGAACGCUGGCGGCGUGCCUAAUACAUGCAAGUCGAGCGAACAGACGAGGAGCUUGCUCCUCUGACGUUAGCGGCGGACGGGUGAGUAACACGUGGAUAACCUACCUAUAAGACUGGGAUAACUUCGGGAAACCGGAGCUAAUACCGGAUAAUAUAUUGAACCGCAUGGUUCAAUAGUGAAAGACGGUUUUGCUGUCACUUAUAGAUGGAUCCGCGCCGCAUUAGCUAGUUGGUAAGGUAACGGCUUACCAAGGCGACGAUGCGUAGCCGACCUGAGAGGGUGAUAGGCCACACUGGAACUGAGACACGGUCCAGACUCCUACGGGAGGCAGCAGUAGGGAAUCUUCCGCAAUGGGCGAAAGCCUGACGGAGCAACGCCGCGUGAGUGAUGAAGGUCUUCGGAUCGUAAAACUCUGUUAUUAGGGAAGAACAAAUGUGUAAGUAACUAUGCACGUCUUGACGGUACCUAAUCAGAAAGCCACGGCUAACUACGUG